Molecule: ribosomal RNA, 533 nt
Filed under: Philosina alba
Lineage: Eukaryota; Metazoa; Arthropoda; Insecta; Odonata; Philosinidae
Description: partial 16S ribosomal RNA
Rfam family: Bacterial large subunit ribosomal RNA
Source: RNAcentral
GUCUUUUCAGGUUGUUUGGAAGGUCUUCCCUGCCCGGUGAUUUCAUUUUAACGGCCGCGGUAUUUUGACCGUGCAAAGGUAGCAUAAUCAUUAGUCUUUUAAUAGAGGGCUGGAAUGAAAGGGUUGACGAGGCACUAACUGUCUCAUAUAUAUGUAUUUUAAAAUUUAGCUUUUAAGUUAAAAGGCUUAAAUUUUAUUGGAAGACGAGAAGACCCUAUAGAGCUUUAUAAACUAUUUAGUAUUAAUUUUGUUAAUAAUUUGUUUUUAUUUAUUUAUUUUAUUUUGUUGGGGUGACAAAAACAUAGGCAUAACUGUUUUAUUUUUAAAUCCAUUUAUUUAUGAUUGUUAGAUCCAUUAAUAUUGAUUUUUAGAUUAAGUUACCUUAGGGAUAACAGCGUAAUCUUCUUUUGGAGUUCUCAUUUACAAGAAGGCUUGCGACCUCGAUGUUGGAUUAAGAUGAUAGUUAAGUGUAGUAGCUUAAUUAAUAGGUCUGUUCGACCUUUAAAUUCUUACAUGAUCUGAGUUCAGACCGG